Molecule: small nucleolar RNA, 107 nt
Organism: Gossypium raimondii (Peruvian cotton)
Lineage: Eukaryota; Viridiplantae; Streptophyta; Magnoliopsida; Malvales; Malvaceae
Rfam family: Plant small nucleolar RNA R71
About the family: R71 is a member of the C/D box family of snoRNAs containing the C (UGAUGA) and D (CUGA) box motifs. Multiple nearly identical copies of this snoRNA have been identified in Arabidopsis, and it is thought to function as a 2'-O-ribose methylation guide for 18S ribosomal RNA.
Source: Rfam
AUUCCAUGAUGAGGGCAUUUUCGUAAUAGUUCUUUGAAUCUCUCCCACGCCUCAUACAAGGAGUCAUCAUCUAUUUGUUGGAAGUUAGGGAUCUUAGUUCAAAACUU